Molecule: ribosomal RNA, 866 nt
Filed under: Triticum aestivum (bread wheat)
Lineage: Eukaryota; Viridiplantae; Streptophyta; Magnoliopsida; Poales; Poaceae
Description: partial small subunit ribosomal RNA
Source: RNAcentral
AAAAAAACCAGGUGUUGUCGGUUCCGAGGUUACAUCUUCUACUACCUCUACUAAAGAAGAGAACGUGAAGAGUACUGCUUCUACGAACGACUUCUAUGUUGAGUACCGCGUAACGGAAUAUAUAACCAAGUCUUUGAUGAGGAUAACAACUUCCGUUGACUGUUCCUAGGUUGCCCCGUUUCGAGCCUUUUGGCUGGUGGGUUGUAUUCUUCGAUGAUGCAUGAUGUUUCGACGUAUACGACAAUACGACGUGAACCUGUAGUGCAAGUUGAAGGAAUGUUCAAAGUCCAACUAAUAGAGGAGAGGCUGCAAUAUGUCCCCUCUUCUGCACCUCUAGGUUAUGUGAAUUGAUAUGUUCUACGAUGACGAUUCGACGUAUAUAACAAUAAGACGUUAACCAGUAGUCUAACUUGGAACGUUCAAACGACGAUCAAUGGAGGACUACAAAAAUGCCAGGUUUACCUUCUCCUCACCGUGUAUAGAACACCCAUAACCACCUUGUCUGCGCUCGUUCUAGAGACUAGCUUUCAAGUUCACCGUUGAUGACCGGAUUUAUUAACAUUUAACAAACCUUUUCUAGUACCUUGCCUACUAGUUAGACUACUCUUCUGGACGUUAAAACUUAUGUCUCAUGAACGAAGGAAAUGAUCGAUCUCAUAAAUUCAUGGGCGUUGGACAUAACCGCUACGACAAAAUUAAUGUUGUGGUAGCACGUUUAGAUUUCGAUAUAACAUGACGACUAACCCCACAUUUAAUAAACGACAUGUCGUAGCAAUCACACAACACUCUUGUGGCGGCCCGUUCGGAAGCAUCAAGAAAACGACAUACCGACGACAAAUUAAACAAUACUCUUUGUAUACAAUACC